AGCUUUAUAUUCAAUUAAUGAUUUCAGAUUGCAAAUUUGAAGGUGGGAGUUUUCCUAAGGCUU
Molecule: transfer RNA, 63 nt
Filed under: Ceruchus minor
Lineage: Eukaryota; Metazoa; Arthropoda; Insecta; Coleoptera; Lucanidae
Description: tRNA-Cys
Source: RNAcentral